UGAGUAAUACAUCGGAACGUGUCUUCUAGUGGGGGAUAACUGCCCGAAAGGGCAGCUAAUACCGCACGAGACCUGAGGGUGAAAGCGGGGGAUCGCAAGACCUCGCGCUGGAAGAGCGGCCGAUGUCCGAUUAGCUAGUUGGUGAGGUAAAGGCUCACCAAGGCGACGAUCGGUAGCUGGUCUGAGAGGACGACCAGCCACACUGGGACUGAGACACGGCCCAG
This 224-nucleotide ribosomal RNA is filed under the name uncultured bacterium. RNAcentral describes it as "partial 16S ribosomal RNA". It matches the Rfam family "Bacterial small subunit ribosomal RNA", at positions 107 to 334 of the family's 1533-position model. The record is from RNAcentral.